AUAAGCCAUCUAAAUAUUUUUUUCCAGGACUUACUGAUGGAUGGACUUAUUUGGUUGUGUGCGUUGUCCUCUCGUUCACUUAGAUUGUGUUGGAUUGGAUGAAAUACUAGCAUCCUCGGCAUUAAAUGCCUUACAUGUUUUGGUUAACAUUGUAUGGUAUUAAUGUUAUCAAGUUAAAACUAAAGGCCAAAUAGAACCUCGAUCUUAUUCUCAAAAAAUGAGAG
This 224-nucleotide unclassified non-coding RNA is filed under the name Arceuthobium pusillum. Lineage: Eukaryota; Viridiplantae; Streptophyta; Magnoliopsida; Santalales; Viscaceae. The record is from RNAcentral.